CGUGUCAUCGUGUCCCUUGGGGGCAACCCCUCCAUUGAACCCUGCGAAAGCAGUUUUUUUUUUUUGAUUCGCAUCCGAAAUCAACAGACCGGCUCCGGCCAACCCCAGAAACGGCUCCGGCCAACCCCAGAAACGGCUCCGGCCACGAACCCCAAGAAACGGCUCCGGCCAUGAACCCCAAGAAACGGCUCCGGCCAUGAACCCCAAGAAACGGCUCCGGCCACGAACCCCAAGAAACGGCUCCGGCCACAAACCCGAUAGUCAUUCAGUUGAUCUGUCAAAACGAUAGGUGUGAGCGCUACCUCAAAAGCCAAAAAUCGCUACCAAGUGCAAGUUAAGAUGUGGUUGAAAGCUCGGUGAUUAAGUCUUCGAUCAGGUUUCUAGGUGUCCUGUUAAAACCCUAGGAUGAUUUUAGUUGUCAACGUCUUGAAAUGCGGCUGUCCUGAUGAGACUACGUGAUUAUGACUAGCGUCGAAACACUACCAUCGAGAGAAGAUGGUGGUGUAGACAGCCCCUAGUCUUACAUAGUAAUAUAUUGUACGAGUACCAGUUCCAAAGUACAAGUAGUUCACUCGGUUUUGUUCUGAAAUUGUAUAAUUCAGAGUCGUGCAGACAAGUGCAUCAUUGCAUAACUAAGAACUCGAACUGUUUCUACAC
Molecule: unclassified non-coding RNA, 657 nt
Filed under: Yarrowia lipolytica
Lineage: Eukaryota; Fungi; Ascomycota; Dipodascomycetes; Dipodascales
Source: RNAcentral